Molecule: long non-coding RNA, 1688 nt
Filed under: Homo sapiens (human)
Lineage: Eukaryota; Metazoa; Chordata; Mammalia; Primates; Hominidae
Description: long non-coding RNA NONHSAT182908.1
Source: RNAcentral
CAACAGACAACUGAGGUAACGUCCACUCUUCGAAGGUGUGUCGUCCACCACGUCAGGACCAAAGUCCAAGCUCUCCCCGUACCCUAAGGAGGCCAGAACUCGCCCCCAUGCCAGGCACAGAUCCCCCAGCCCGGAGCCGGCAGUGCAGCUCAGAGCCCUUCCGGUUUACAGCCGCGGAAAAACAACUCGGACCAGAUCCGGGAGGGGAAUGGGGGCUGGGUGGCCAAAAUUCAGUCCAGAGGAUCGAAGCGGCUGCUUUAACAGAAGUUGGGGCUGCGUAACAACAGCUCCAAGCAAAGCUUCAGGCUGAUCGGAAAGAUGAGGAAGCAGAAAAGAGACUAAAGACAGACGGACAGGAUGGCUGGGGACAACGACAGGGACCCAGUGAAAAUACGGGCAAUACCGAGGGCUGUAACCCUAACACGGGCAAAUUUGGAGGGGCUAACAUGGGCGGAAACCAUCCGUACCAGUCACCACCACUGUCUCCAGCUGUCCCAGAACCGGACUCUUCCUGCCAUCAAAAUGGCGGCGGCGACGGCAGCGGUGGUAGCACCUACGCUGGCGGUGAGCAGGCAAAGGAAGUUGCUUCCGAGCGCGUCGAAACGAUGAUGCGCACGCGCAAAGUAGGCCUACGUGGAGCCGACCUGCCAUUGGGGUUUUGAAGCGACUUAUUGGUCAUUUGGUCAAAUGUCCUUCAAUUGGGUUUUGCCUGUAUUUUUCUCAUGCAUUAACUGAGGUUAUGGGUUUUUCUUGAGUUAAGAGGAUCAGCUGCUUCCCCAAAAAGCCAAGGGUACUUUUAAUGGAAAAUGAUAUUAGAAAUCAAGAUUUGGACAUUUGGGAUGUUGUUGCUUCUAGACACUCUCAGCUGACAGAGCAAGGAAAUAUUUGUGGAUAUGCUAACCUGACUAAAUACGCAUAUCUGCUCCAUACCUACCUAACAUCUAUCUUCUCAAGAACUCUGCCAGGGAAGGAGUAGUUUCUGUGUUUCAUAAACAGACUGAGACUCAAAGAGGCUAAGUAAACUACCUGAAGCCAUAUAUAGCAACACACAAUGACGGAUGUGAGAUUCAAACUUGGAUUUAUCUGGCUCCAAAAUUUCUAGUUUUUUUUUUUUUUUUUUUCCCACUACAGCAAAACUAAGGAGAAGAGACAGAGGAAACACUAGAUCUGAAUAACAAAGGAUGCAUACUUAAGCAAACUAAGGCAUAUAUAGUUAUCACUAAAUGCUCAACCUGGAAAGAAUACUGGAUUGCAGUCUGCUUUUUCUGUAAAGACAAUAGUAUUAUAAAACCGAAAGAGACAACAGGGAAUAUUUCCCACUGAACCUGAUGGAAUAAACUGCUGUGAGAGGGAGUAUUGAAAGUACUUCUCCCCUGGACCUUGUUCCCAGGCUCCGUGUGAAGCUGAACACUCCGCAUGAUCUCCCUGCCACCAUAGCAAGCUAUGAAGUUCAUUACACAUGCAGGUAGCAGACAAUACAGCUCUGCUUCCAUUUCUGAGCACCUACGGUAGACUGCCAUUAUUCAGUGUGCCAGCCUGUUUCCAAGCCUACAAUGUAUAGUUCCUCUAGUACGUAAACUCAUUUUUUUUCUCAGAGAGCCAAGUAGAGACACAGGCAGUUUUCUUCUCAAAAUGUGCCAGAAAUUCCAAAACAAUCUCAAAGCAUUAAAGGCUAUGUGCACAAAGUA